CCUACGGGGAGCAGCAGUCGAGAAUCAUUCACAAUGGGGGAAACCCUGAUGGUGCGACGCCGCGUGGGGGAAUGAAGGUCUUCGGAUUGUAAACCCCUGUCAUGUGGGAGCAAAUUAAAAAGAUAGUACCACAAGAGGAAGAGACGGCUAACUCUGUGCCAGCAGCCGCGGUAAUACAGAGGUCUCAAGAGUUGUUCGGACUCACUGGGCGUAAAGCGUGCGUAGGCUGUUUCGUAAGGCGUGUGUGAAAGGCGAGGGCUCAACCCGCGGACUGCAAAUGAUACUGGGAGACUAGAGUAAUGUAGGGGGAACCGGAAUUCUCGGUGUAGCAGUGAAAUGCGUAGAUAGCGAGAGGAACACUCGUGGCGAAGGCGGGUUCCUGGACAUUAACUGACGCUGAGGCACGAAGGCCAGGGGAGCGAAAGGGAUUAGAUACCCUGGUAGUC
RNAcentral lists this ribosomal RNA (446 nucleotides) under uncultured bacterium. Its description in RNAcentral is "partial 16S ribosomal RNA". It matches the Rfam family "Bacterial small subunit ribosomal RNA", at positions 338 to 795 of the family's 1533-position model. The record is from RNAcentral.